Long non-coding RNA from Osmerus eperlanus (European smelt), 2096 nucleotides. RefSeq lists it as uncharacterized. The record is from RefSeq and is a predicted model, not a curated record. The transcript is spliced from 4 exons. NCBI's taxonomy places the organism in Eukaryota, Metazoa, Chordata, Actinopteri, Osmeriformes, Osmeridae.
CCGCAGGUUAGGUUUAACGAUUCUAAAUAUCCAACAUGAUUAUCAAUCGAAAUAGAGUUCUGAAGAAAAUGAAAAGUGUCCCCCAGAUACCGAGAUAUUCUGGGUUUGGUGACAUGAAUUAGCAGGACAAAAAGCUGGCAUUCCAUGUGGAGGCUAAAACACGGUCCUCACAUUCUAUCGCGUAGCAAGGGGGGAUUUAGAGAGACUUAUUUCCUUAAAACUGUCCUCCCAUCCACAGACCAAGCCAGUCUGCCUCGAUCAAGUUGAUAUAAGCUAGCCAAAUUCAGUUGGAAUAUUUUUGAGGGAAAGAUUGAGGCAUCGACAACAAGGGCCUCAAUAACAGCAGCCCAGUUGUUUACAUAGGCUAGAAGUAUAAAUAAGCUAUUGCUCCGUGAUUUGUACUUUUUAAUGCCAAUAAUUGUAAACAUUCUAUCGUUAAGGCAUCGACACGAAGAUCCAUUUUUGGAGUGUUUCACAUCGUUGUUUUUUUCUCACUCUGUUACCUUGACAAUUUCAAUUCAACUGGCUUCAAGUGGGAAACGGAGGUAAACAGAGACAGUACGACGGCUAGGUUUUUAAAGACUUCUUGACAUCAAAUAGCUUCAAGAUACAACAUAGCCAACUACGUCACUUGAAUUUUCCUGUAUCACAAAAACAAUAUACCUCGGGUUUUGUCACGGUUUGGUAAAUGUACCAUCUUAAGAAGCUUUGAGGAACACCUACACACACAAACACGCGCACACACACACACACACACACACACACACACACACACACACACACACACACACACACACACACACACACACACGCACACGCAGCUUGUACGGACACACCCGCUCACUUCAAACAGAUUUGAAUAUUGAUUUAGAUUUAUAAACAGUGAGGCAAACCGUGGAUUUUAUAAAUCGUCAGUUGCCUCUCUCUUUAGCAGUUCUCGUGGGCCCAUGUCAAAGGUUCAGUAUGCUUUAGACAACAACUUGUCACCUUCAUAGUAAAAACUAAAAACUAAACUAAAAACAUGACCAUGAAAAUGUCAAUGUUAAUACUUUGAUAGAUAUCGAUGACACCGACAUGUUCUCUGGAUUUACCUCUGUUCAGAAGUCACCUUGCAUCUCGUCAAGAGCAAUCCAACGGUAACUGUCUACAGCUUUCUGGUUUCUGCAGCCCAGCAGUGUGAGGUAACAGUAACUUUGGGCGGUGGCACGGCAUGCAGGUUCACAGGAGAACGACGUUUAAAGGAAGAGCAGUUAACGCCUCUGGCAAUCAGCGCUCCCACUGACUCCCGGGUAAUUGACGAGGACGUCUUUUAUCAGUGCCUCUGGGGCUCUGUAACAAACAUGGAUUCAAUUAAACGCUCUUCACUUCAGAUCAUCAAUAUCAGCCGGCAAAGUCAAUCUGCUGAGGGCAAAUAUUGCAGAAAAAAAAGUGUGACUUCUAACCAGUAACGCCUUGUUAUGAAGACGGGACUGAAUGUAUUAUUAUGCUAUUUUUGCGUUUCCUUUUAAUAUGAGACUUUUAUGUUCUUGGUUGGAUGUAUUUGUUUUACUUGCCAAUAUCCUUGUUGAUUUAAAUUGCUGCAUUAAAAUGUUGUAUAAGUAGAACAAAUGCUUGUUGAAGCCGGUGCUGUGUGUCGAUGGCUGGGACAGUCAUGCUGGCAUGGUUGAGGGGAGAGAACCAACAGAGAGGAGAUCAAGAUAUCUAUGUCGGUAACUGUCAAGCAGCCUCUUACUCUCAAAGAUGCAUGUGCUCUCUUCCUCUCUUCCUCUCUUCCUCUCUCUCUCUCUCUCUCUCUCUCUCUCUCUCUCUCUCUCUCUCUCUCUCUCUCUCUCUCUCUCUCUCUCAUUCUCUCUCUCUCCCCCUUCUCUCUCUCUCCCACCCAGUGAUACUCUCCUUGCUGAGGUGUCCAUGGUAAAACCUGCCCUGCAGACCGGACCUCUCCCUGGUAAAGUUCAAAGGAGUCAGAACUGAACGUGGAGGAUUUGUUCAGGCUUAUUACCCAGGAUUUGAAUUGGAUUCUGGGAAGCAUUCAUAACACAUUUGAAAAUGUUACAUUGUGUGAUUUUGUGUGUAAUCCCCAUAAUAAAUUUUUAGAA